This 496-nucleotide long non-coding RNA is filed under the name Lynx pardinus (Iberian lynx). The stretch from base 292 to 494 matches the Rfam family "Rhabdomyosarcoma 2 associated transcript conserved region 6". The record is from RNAcentral. Lineage: Eukaryota; Metazoa; Chordata; Mammalia; Carnivora; Felidae.
CAAAUCAAUCUUGUCACUCCUCAGAAAGCAAUGCAAGAUAAUAAGUAGUAUUCACCUGAUUGCUUUCCUGCUCCGAGACAGCUGGUGACGCGUGUCUUCCUGAUAACCAAGAGUUUCAGAUCUAAGGCAGGGAUAAAGGGAAGCCGGGAGCUCGCAGAAUCUAAAUUUGACAGUCGAUGGCUGAGGAGAGGGUCAGGAAGGAUAGAAUCUGUGACACGUAUGAGAAGGGAACAAAAUUUAUCUGCUCUGGUUGCAAUGAUUAGAUGUCUCUUUGUCUGGCUUUCUUACAGCGGUUGACUGAUUGUACCCGCCAGCUGGCUAAUAUCAUAAUUAACAAAGUUGCUACUACAUCUGCAAAGUUUAAUCGAAAAAUUUGCCAGUGAUAUGAUGGCAUUGUCACAAAGAUCACAAGGGACACGGAGUUGACUUUUGCUCAAGGUGGAAUGGCAAAGCUGUAUGGGCAAGAUGAGAAAUCGUGCACUUGUUCAGCCAAAGG